UAUUAGCUAGUUGGUGAGAUAACAGCCCACCAAGGCUGCGAUGGGUAGCCGUCCUGAGAGGGUGAACGUGCACACUGGGACUGAGAUACGGCCCAGACUCCUACGGGAGGCAGCAGUAGGGAAUAUUGCGCAAUGCCCGAAAGGGUGACGCAGCGACGCCGCGUGGGUGAUGAAGCUUCUUGGAGCGUAAAGCCCUUUCAGAAGGGAAGAACCGCAUGGAGGUGAACCUCCGUGCCUGACGGUACCUUCAGAAGAAGCUCCGGCUAACUCCGUGCCAGCAGCCGCGGUAAUACGGAGGGAGCAAGCGUUGUUCGGAAUCACUGGGCGUAAAGGGCGCGUAGGCGGACCGGUGAGUCAGGUGUGAAAACCCGGGGCUUAACCCCGGGCCUGCACUUGAUACUAUCGGUCUUGAGUACGAGAGAGGAAAGCGGAAUUCCAGGUGUAGCGGUGAAAUGCGUAGAUAUCUGGGAGAACACCGGUGGCGAAUGCGGCUUUCUGGCUCGAUACUGACGCUGAUGCGCGAAGGCUAUGGGAGGCAAACAGGAUUAGAUACCCUGGUAGUCCUAGCGGUAAACGAUGGGCACUAUGUGUUGGAUGACUUAACCCUUCAGUGCCGCAAAUUAACGCCAUUAUGUUGCCCGUCCUGGGAAGUACGAUCGGCAGAUUGAAACUCCAAGGAAUUUGACGGGGCCCCGCACAAGCAGUGGAGUAUGUGGUUUAAUUCGAUGCAACGCGAA
Molecule: ribosomal RNA, 737 nt
Filed under: uncultured organism
Description: bacterial SSU rRNA
Rfam family: Bacterial small subunit ribosomal RNA
Source: RNAcentral